RNAcentral lists this ribosomal RNA (465 nucleotides) under uncultured bacterium. RNAcentral's name for it is "partial 16S ribosomal RNA". It matches the Rfam family "Bacterial small subunit ribosomal RNA", at positions 338 to 795 of the family's 1533-position model. The record is from RNAcentral.
CCUACGGGGGGCAGCAGUGGGGAAUAUUGCGCAAUGGGCGAAAGCCUGACGCAGCGACGCCGCGUGAGGGAUGAAGGUCUUCGGAUCGUAAACCUCUGUCAGCAGGGAAGAACGGUCACUGUGCUAAUCAGCAGUGAAUUGACGGUACCUGCAAAGGAAGCAACGGCUAACUCCGUGCCAGCAGCCGCGGUAAUACGGAGGGUGCGAGCGUUAACCGGAAUUACUGGGCGUAAAGCGGUCGUAGGCGGCAUGUAAAGUCAAGGGUGAAAUCCCCGCGCUCAACGUGGGAACGGCCUUUGAAACUGGGAGACUGGAGUGUGGGAAGGGAGAGUGGAAUUCCUGGUGUAGGGGUGAAAGCCGUAGAUAUCUGGAGGAACAUCAGGGGCGAGGGCGACUAUCUGGCACAUAACUGACGCUGAGGAGCGAAAGCGUGGGGAGCAAACAGGAUUAGAUACCCCGGUAGUC